GCGUGGUCGUCCAGAGGUAAAGACGCCGACCUCACCAGUCGGAGAUAUGGGUUCGAGUCCCAUCCACCGCUCCC
This 74-nucleotide transfer RNA is filed under the name Blastopirellula marina. RNAcentral's name for it is "tRNA-Val". It matches the Rfam family "tRNA". Rfam says of the family: Transfer RNA (tRNA) molecules are approximately 80 nucleotides in length. Lineage: Bacteria; Pseudomonadati; Planctomycetota; Planctomycetia; Pirellulales; Pirellulaceae. The record is from RNAcentral.